This 468-nucleotide ribosomal RNA is filed under the name uncultured bacterium. RNAcentral's name for it is "partial 16S ribosomal RNA". It matches the Rfam family "Bacterial small subunit ribosomal RNA", at positions 29 to 507 of the family's 1533-position model. The record is from RNAcentral.
ACGAACGCUGGCGGCGUGCUUAACACAUGCAAGUCGAACGGAAAGGCCCUGCUUGCAGGGUGCUCGAGUGGCGAACGGGUGAGUAACACGUGGGUGAUCUGCCCCUUACUUUGGGAUAAGCCUGGGAAACUGGGUCUAAUACUGGAUAGGACCAUGCUGUAGGUGGUGUGGUGGAAAGAUUAGUUUCGGUAAGGGAUGAGCUCGCGGCCUAUCAGCUUGUUGGUGGGGUAAUGGCCUACCAAGGCGUCGACGGGUAGCCGGCCUGAGAGGGUGGACGGCCACAUUGGGACUGAGAUACGGCACAGACUCCUACGGGAGGCAGCAGUGGGGAAUAUUGCACAAUGGGCGCAAGCCUGAUGCAGCGACGCCGCGUGGGGGAUGACGGCCUUCGGGUUGUAAACUCCUUUCAGCCAUGACGAAGCCCUUGUGGUGACGGUAGUGGUAGAAGAAGCACCGGCUAACUACGUG